CGCGUUCGUCUAGGCGCUCUUGUCACCUCGCCAUGCCGGAGCCAUCGCGGGCGGCUCCGGCUUCUAAAAAGGGCUCCAAGAAGGCCAUUACCAAGGCGCAGAAGAAGGACGGCAAGAAGCGCAAGCGCGGCCGCAAGGAGAGCUAUUCUAUCUACGUGUACAAGGUGCUGAAGCAGGUGCACCCCGACACCGGCAUCUCGUCCAAGGCCAUGGGCAUCAUGAACUCCUUCGUCAAUGACAUCUUCGAGCGCAUCGCCAGCGAGGCCUCCCGCCUGGCGCACUACAACAAGCGCUCCACCAUCACGUCCCGCGAAGUGCAGACGGCCGUGCGCCUGCUGCUGCCCGGCGAGCUGGCCAAGCACGCCGUGUCCGAGGGCACCAAGGCUGUCACCAAGUACACCAGCUCCAAGUGAGGCGCGUCCCGGCGCCCCGAACCCAAAGGCUCUUUUCAGAGCCACCUCCAAGCUCAUAAAGGAGCGUGCCACCUGGUCUGGUUGUGACCUGUGAUUCAAUUGGAGUAAUA
Molecule: small RNA, 523 nt
Filed under: Pongo abelii (Sumatran orangutan)
Lineage: Eukaryota; Metazoa; Chordata; Mammalia; Primates; Hominidae
Description: unitary pseudogene
Rfam family: Histone 3' UTR stem-loop (bases 436-481)
Source: RNAcentral